Non-coding RNA from Scytonema tolypothrichoides VB-61278, 245 nucleotides. The record is from Rfam. Lineage: Bacteria; Bacillati; Cyanobacteriota; Cyanophyceae; Nostocales; Scytonemataceae.
GUCAACACCCCUGCCUAAAGGCUAGGGGCUUCUAGCCUCAAACUUUUAGGAUUAGUUGACCAGACUUAGAACCUUGUGUUCUACGUUAACGGCAAGUGUUUAAGUUCCUACCUUGGGAUGCGAAGCUAGUUCCAAGCUCUAGAAAUCAAGGAUUAAACAGAUUUAGAGGGCUGACAACAGAAGUGAAAUAAUUGGACAAGAUUAGAUAAGAUUGGACAGUAAACAACUUAUAAUGAAUAAAUGUC